UACGUAGGGUGCAAGCGUUAAUCGGAAUUACUGGGCGUAAAGCGUGCGCAGGCGGUUAUGCAAGACAGAUGUGAAAUCCCCGGGCUUAACCUGGGAACUGCAUUUGUGACUGCAUAGCUAGAGGACGGUAGAGGGGGAUGGAAUUCCGCGUGUAGCAGUGAAAUGCGUAGAUAUGCGGAGGAACACCGGUGGCGAAGGCGGCAUCCUGGACCGGUAUUGACGCUGAGGCGCGAAAGCCAGGGGAGCAAACGGG
RNAcentral lists this ribosomal RNA (253 nucleotides) under uncultured bacterium. Its description in RNAcentral is "partial 16S ribosomal RNA". It matches the Rfam family "Bacterial small subunit ribosomal RNA", at positions 524 to 776 of the family's 1533-position model. The record is from RNAcentral.